AGGAAUGCGUCUACAUGGCCAAGCUGGCCGAGCAGGCUGAGCGCUAUGACGAGAUGGUGGAGGAGAUGAAGAAGGUGGCCAAGCUGGUGCACGACCAGGAGCUGUCCGUGGAGGAGCGCAACCUGCUUUCGGUGGCUUACAAGAACGUCAUUGGCGCUCGCCGCGCGUCCUGGCGCAUUAUCUCCUCCAUAGAGCAGAAGGAGGAGGCUAAGGGCAACGAGGAGCAUGUCCAGCGCAUUCGCAAGUACCGCACUGUGGUAAGCAGCGCUCGGAAGGGACAAGGGCUAUGAUCCUUCUGCGUCGACAUGGGAACCUUCCGGGGCCCCUUGCACUUGGCAUGGUCAACCAGCAGGCUGACCUUGGCCAUAACCUGCUGCGCAGGUCGAGGAGGAGCUCAGCAAAAUCUGCGCCAGCAUUCUGCAGCUGUUGGACGACCACCUGAUCCCCACUGCCUCCACUGGCGAGAGCAAGGUGUUCUACCUGAAGAUGAAGGGCGACUACCACCGCUACCUGGCUGAGUUUAAGACCGGCGCUGACCGCAAGGAGGCUGCCGAGCACACCCUGCUCGCGUACAAGGCCGCGCAGGUCAGCGAAGAAGCUGGAGGGACUCCAGGUCGCGGGCAGUGACUGGGGCUGUGACCUCCAAUGCCAUGCGCUUUUGGCG
RNAcentral lists this long non-coding RNA (664 nucleotides) under Chlamydomonas reinhardtii. Its description in RNAcentral is "long non-coding RNA (CREI_LNC001039)". The record is from RNAcentral. Lineage: Eukaryota; Viridiplantae; Chlorophyta; Chlorophyceae; Chlamydomonadales; Chlamydomonadaceae.